This 423-nucleotide ribosomal RNA is filed under the name uncultured bacterium. Its description in RNAcentral is "partial 16S ribosomal RNA". It matches the Rfam family "Bacterial small subunit ribosomal RNA", at positions 361 to 776 of the family's 1533-position model. The record is from RNAcentral.
AUAUUGGACAAUUAGCGAAAGCCUGAUCCAGCCAUGCCGCGUGUGUGAAGACGGUCUUCUGGUUGUAAAGCACUUUAGGUCGGGAGGAAGGGUUAUAGAUUAAUACUCUGCCAUUUCGACGUUACCGACAGACUAUGCCUCGGCUACCUUCGUCCCAGUAGCCGCCGUAAUACGAAGGGUGCAAGCUUUAAUCGGAAUUAAUGGGCGUAAAGCGCGCGUAGGUGAUUCGUUAAGUUGGAUGUGAAAGCCCCGGACGCAACCUGGGAACUGCAUCCAAAACUGGCGAGCUAGAGUACGGUAGAGGGUGGUGGAAUUUCCUGUGUAGCGGUGAAAUGCGUAGAUAUAGGAAGGAACACCAGUGGCGAAGGCGACCACCUGGACUGAUACUGACACUGAGGUGCGAAAGCGUGGGGAGCAAACAGG